This 1057-nucleotide long non-coding RNA is filed under the name Piliocolobus tephrosceles (Ugandan red Colobus). RNAcentral describes it as "lncRNA (ENSPTEG00000028552.1)". The record is from RNAcentral. Lineage: Eukaryota; Metazoa; Chordata; Mammalia; Primates; Cercopithecidae.
AUGCUUUUACUUUCACAAAUGUCUCCUCCUUCCGGUGCACAUAGUGCGCUACUUAAAACUGUGUUAAGAACUGUAAUAUUUAUACAAUCUUCAUUGUUUUUAUCACAAUUUUUUGUAUCUUUUUCAUUUCUUAUAUCAUUAUAUGUGCACUCAUUUUUGUUCACAUGUGCUGCUUUGUUCUUCCUUUCGUCAGUUUUUUUUUCGUCAGUUUUUUUUUCGUCAUUUUUUUUUUCGUCAGUUUUUUUUUUGUCAGUUUUUUUUUUGUCAGUUCUUUUUUUGUCAGUUCUUUUUUUGUCAGUUCUUUUUUUGUCAGCUCUUUUUUUAUCAGCUCCUUUUUUAUCAACGCUUUUUUCUCCAUUACUCUCUUCACCACUACGGUUGUCACCACUGUCAUCGUCAUCACUACUAUCAUCGUCAUUAUUUCUGUUAGUAUUACCUCUAAGAAAACUACCAAAAUAUUGAUUCCUUUUCAACUGAUUAAUUAUAUGUAUCCUAUUUUUGAAAAUACUAUUUUUAUGUACACUACUUUUGUGUAACCUACUUCUGUAAAUACCACUUCUAUGGACACAACUUCUGUGAAUACAACUUCUGUAACUAGUUACUUUAAGUACAUUGUUCAAUUCCGAUUUUGUUAAAUUUUUUGUUUCAAUAACAUCCAAACCGUUUUUUAAUGAUUUACUAUUGAGAUAUCCCGUAACCAUAAUAUUACUAUCAGUACCUCCAUUAGUUCUUUCAUUACUGCCUCCAUUACUACUUGCAUUACUGCCUCCAUUACUGCCACCAUUACUGCCUCCAUUACUGCUUGUAUGACUUGGUUCUGUUUUUUUUUUUAAAUUUUUUUUAACAGAGAUACUAUUUUUAUUAUAUACGUUAUUUCCAUUCAUAUUGCAUAACUCAUAUUUCAAAUCACGGAAAGUGUAAAAAUCACGAAAAGUGUACAAAUCACGGAAAGUGUACAAAUAGUUUCGAUUUAAUAAUAUAAAUUUUUUAUUUAAAUUCGAGAUGGGAAUAUUACGAUAGAAAUAAAACAACUUUUUAUUAUUUCUAAAAAUGGAGU